UCUCUCAUUGCUUGGCUCUUUCCAACAGCUUCUCUCACCUGUUCCUGACUUCUCUUUAUCAGAUAGCUCCGGCUAACCUCCAUCCUUUCCAAGAAUGGUGUUCACUUAUGCCUUUCCAUUCGGUGCCACCCCUUUUGAGCCCAUCACUCUGCUGUGUGACCAGUCCUAUGGAGUCAAGUCUUGCAGCAUCCCAUCCAGCUGUGUUCCUUGUGGACCCACCAUUCCAGUGAGCAGCUGCCAGCCCUGCUCUGUCCAAUCCUGUGCUGUUCCGUGUGGGCCUGUCAUUCCAGUUAGCAGCUGCCAGCCGUCCUCUGUCCAAUCCUGUGCUGUUCCGUGUGGGCCCAGCAUUAAAGUUAGCAGCUGCCAGCCCUCCUCUGUCCAAUCCUGUGCCAGUCCGUGUGGGCCUGUCAUUCCAGUUAGCAGCUGCCAGCCCUCCUGUGUCCAACCCUGUGCCAUUCCAUGUGGGCCCACCAUUAAAGUUAGCAGCUGCCAACCCUCCUCAGUCCAAUCCUGUGCCAAUCCAUGUGGGCCUGUCAUUCCAGUUAGCAGCUGCCAGCCCUCCUGUGUCCAACCCUGUGCUGUUCCAUGUGGGCCUGUCGUUCCAGUUAGCAGCUGCCAGCCCUCCUGUGUCCAACCCUGUGCCGUUCCGUGUGGGCCUGUCAUUCCAGUUAGCAGUUGCCACCCCUCCUGUGUCCAACCCUGUGCCGUUCCAUGUGGGCCUGUCAUUCCAGAUAGCAGCUGCAAGCCUGCUUGCCACCAAACCUGUGUCAUUCCGAGUGGGCCCAUCUAUCCAGUGAGCAGUUGCCAGCCCUCCUAUGUCCCAGUUAGUGUACAGUCCUGCAAUCCUUCUUGCCAUCCUUGCUAAAUCACCACGGGACAACUUCUCUGCUAUAUGACCACGUCAGGAAUUGAAAAUUAUGGUCCGGAUUCAUGGCUAAGCUUAUGUAUUAUCAGUUAUCAAAACUGCUGAGUUUUCACAGAUCCAUCUAAGGUAGUUUAUGGGUGUUUGGUAUCAAAAGUUCUGAGCUUUCAAAAUUCUAUCAAAGGUCUACCCUUUUCUGUGACUACUUAGCACCCUUGACACCCAGUCCCAGGGUUGUAAGAUUCUGCCUCUCCUUGUCAGACACAAAUUCCUUUGUCAGCUUUUAUGCUAGCUCUGUUCAUCAGGGGUUCUGUUUGGUGUGAUUUUUUUUAUCAAAACACCCUUCAAAGGAAGAAUAUCAAUGUUCUCACAAUAUUAGGGAUAGACAACUCAUUGUUCAUCCUUACUCAGCUCUUUUCAGCUCAUGGUUCAUUCCUUGGAUUUCUACCAUUAGGAUGUGAUAGAUGAUCGUAUCACAGAUGCAUGAUGGGUAAUGUCUUCCAAGGAAUAGGCUCUCUUGCAGUGAUCAUUAUCAUCAUGUGAAAAAAAUGUAGUUCUGUAGAUCCAUGGAUGGACUCAUUUGGAGGAUACCCUUACCCCUAAGAACCCCAAGGCUAUUGGAUGAUAUUUGCUACUGCCUUUUGGAAUGAUAACAUAUUUAGCAGCAGCAGCAGCAACAACAACAUUGGGUUGAAUCCAUCAUCAAUCAUAUUCAGGGUAGAGUCACUGAAAUUAAUAGACAGGACUACCUUAAGUCCAUUCGUUUUACUGGGCCUAUUCUGAGCUGAACUUGGUGAGUUACAAGUCCAAGUGUAGAACCCAUAAUCCAUUUUUCUCCAGACACAGCUGCAAAUCUGCACACAUUUUGUCUUGAGAUGUGAAGGUCUGGAAAAAUGUUCCCCCCUUUUUCUUCUUUUAGAUAGAUAGAUAGAUAGAUAGAUAGAUAGAUAGAUAGAUAGAUAGAUAGAUAGAUAGAUAGAUAGAUAGAUAGAUAGGGGGGGAUUGAUUUAUUUUCCCAUUUUUUUCUGGCUGUUCACAACUCUAAUUUUGUCUCCACAAGGACUAUAUAUUCAUGUAAGAAGUGGCCAUGGGGCCAUGGGCUGGGAACGCAAAUAAAGACCAGGACCUCUGGUUCUAUUCUGAUAUUUUGUUGUCAUAACUCUAUCCUGCUUAAUUCAUUAAAGAAAAAAAACAGCGGCUGUUCAUUUCUCUGCUUGAUGUGCCGCUGAAACUGCAAGUGGGCUCAGUCUAUUUCCUUCAUGUUUCUUUCCCAAUAAAAUCUACUUUACUGCAUGGAAA
Molecule: long non-coding RNA, 2161 nt
Organism: Rhineura floridana
Lineage: Eukaryota; Metazoa; Chordata; Lepidosauria; Squamata; Rhineuridae
Exons: 2
Source: RefSeq, a predicted model, not a curated record